AGAACAGCCUGGCAGGAGAGAUACCAUCAUCAUGAAGGUGAUUUUCCCAGAGCUGGGCUUAUCCAUUGCAUUCUGGAUGUGCUGACGCCUGUGGUUUUCCCAAAUGUGGGAAACUGGACUGCAUAAUUUGUGGUAGUGGGGGACUAUGUUCGUGUUCUCUCCUG
Molecule: small nuclear RNA, 164 nt
Organism: Homo sapiens (human)
Lineage: Eukaryota; Metazoa; Chordata; Mammalia; Primates; Hominidae
Source: Ensembl